UGAGGAAUAUUGCGCAAUGGGGGAAACCCUGACGCAGCAACGCCGCGUGAGUGAUGAAGGCCUUCGGGUCGUAAAGCUCUGUCAAGUGGGAAGAAACAAUAAUAUGCUAAUAUCAUAUUGUCUUGACGGUACCACUGGAGGAAGCACCGGCUAACUCCGUGCCAGCAGCCGCGGUAAUACGGAGGGUGCAAGCGUUAUUCGGAAUCAUUGGGCGUAAAGGGCGCGUAGGCGGCUUUGUAAGUCAGAUGUGAAAGCCCGGGGCUUAACCCCGGAAGUGCAUUUGAAACUACAAGGCUUGAGUAUGGGAGAGGAGAGCGGAAUUCCUGGUGUAGAGGUGAAAUUCGUAGAUAUCAGGAGGAACACCGGUGGCGAAGGCGGCUCUCUGGACCAAUACUGACGCUGAGGCGCGAAGGCGUGGGGAUCAAACA
RNAcentral lists this ribosomal RNA (428 nucleotides) under uncultured prokaryote. RNAcentral's name for it is "bacterial SSU rRNA". It matches the Rfam family "Bacterial small subunit ribosomal RNA", at positions 355 to 774 of the family's 1533-position model. The record is from RNAcentral.